Schizosaccharomyces pombe (fission yeast) is the source of this 531-nucleotide non-coding RNA. The record is from the annotation of a GenBank genome assembly. NCBI's taxonomy places the organism in Eukaryota, Fungi, Ascomycota, Schizosaccharomycetes, Schizosaccharomycetales, Schizosaccharomycetaceae.
UAUGAGAUGUGGUAAUGUUUCCCACCUCAUCGGUAUAGUAGACAUCCUUGGAAUUUCUAGGAAGACUAUAGACGACUCGAUUAAUAGCAGUAGAAACUGGAUUGUAAAAGUUUCCCAUAUACCACUUGGCACGAUCGAAGUUGGACUUCAGCUUGGCAGCAUGGUUUUCAAAAACCACACGCUCCGAGACUUCUAACAUUUUUCGGUAUUCAUGCAUAUCAAUUUGAACAUAGAGAUCAGCUCCGCGAGGAAUAGGUACAGUAUGCUCAUAGCGAACAUAGAUUUCACCUAAAUCAUUGUCCUCCCCGGUGAUAGUCUCACGGCUUUCGUAAACCAAAGUAUUGCCAACACGAUUGGGAAGUUCAGCUCCAUCAAUAUUAUACGUAGUAUAUGUGUCAAUUUUAGCAGAAGGGAGUAUAAGACGAGUGCGUUGAAGAUCAGUAGUGUAGGGACUAUCUAAGUAAAGGGUUGUCAGGUAAACCAAAUAUUGUUCUUCGUCUUGAUCCACAGCUGCUGGUAAAGGACGAACAC